GCCGGUUUCACCACUAAUUAUGUCUUUGACGCAAACAAAAAUUGAUAUAUUGAACAUUAUUAGUAUUACACAUUUAUAUUAUAUUUAUAUGAUUGACGUUUUUCUCACAUUUUGAUGUUGGCGCAACGUGAUUUUGGUAUAGCUCAAAACAUCCUUCUAUAUUUUAUGUGUAUAAUAAACGUGAAAUUUUUGAUGCAACGAGAGCGGAAAUUAUUAAAAGUAUCGAAGGUCUGGUAAUUGCUAAGAAUUUGUUAAUGUGGAUGGAAAAUUUCAAUAGUCUUUGAUUGAGUCAAAUUUUAGAUAUGUAUUAUUCUAAUCGAGGAAUUUUAUUCAAUAGAAAUAUAAAAGCCUGCGAGAGAGGACGAAAUUUUAUUCAUAUUGCAACUGAAACUAUCAUAGAAGAGGAGGUUCUUAAAGAAGAAGAACCAACAAUGUAAAUUGAAGUUAUUUCUACACUAAUGCAGCACAAAUAAUAAAAAAAUGGAAAACAGGUGUCUAAUACUGAAUUUUAUCAGCGAGUAAUUUAAGUAUCGAGCAUUGACAUGUUAAAAAUUAUGUCAACAUCCAAAUAAGAGAUAAAGGAACCAAAUAUAUUAAACAGAGCUAGUUUAAAGGAGUUAUUACUACUGAAAAUUAUUUUUUAUUUGGACA
Leptopilina boulardi is the source of this 651-nucleotide long non-coding RNA. RefSeq lists it as uncharacterized. NCBI's taxonomy places the organism in Eukaryota, Metazoa, Arthropoda, Insecta, Hymenoptera, Figitidae. The transcript has 3 exons. The record is from RefSeq and is a predicted model, not a curated record.